RNAcentral lists this ribosomal RNA (315 nucleotides) under uncultured eukaryote. RNAcentral's name for it is "partial 18S ribosomal RNA". It matches the Rfam family "Eukaryotic small subunit ribosomal RNA", at positions 1470 to 1796 of the family's 1831-position model. The record is from RNAcentral.
CCCUUAGACGUUCUGGGCCGCACGCGCGCUACACUGACCAGUGCAACAAGCAUCCGUCCUUGGCCGACAGGCUCGGGCAAUCUUUGAACGCUGGUCGUGAUGGGGAUAGACUUUUGCAAUUUUUGGUCUUCAACGAGGAAUUCCUAGUAAACGCAAGUCAUCAACUUGCAUUGAUUACGUCCCUGCCCUUUGUACACACCGCCCGUCGCACCUACCGAUUGAAUGGUCCGGUGAAGCCUCCGGAUUGGCGCGCACCUCGGUGCCGCCGAGAAGUUGGCUAAACCUUACCAUUUAGAGGAAGGUGAUGUCGUAACA